AGUUAGCUGACGAGUCCCAAAUAGGACGAAAUGCGCGUUAUCCUGCAGGAU
Molecule: non-coding RNA, 51 nt
Filed under: Trichobilharzia regenti
Lineage: Eukaryota; Metazoa; Platyhelminthes; Trematoda; Strigeidida; Schistosomatidae
Source: RNAcentral